Molecule: ribosomal RNA, 269 nt
Filed under: uncultured soil bacterium
Lineage: Bacteria
Description: partial 16S ribosomal RNA
Rfam family: Bacterial small subunit ribosomal RNA
Source: RNAcentral
AGAAUGAACGCUGGCGGCGUGCUUAACACAUGCAAGUCGAACGAGGCCGAGGGGGCAACUCCUCGGUUUAGUGGCGGACGGGUGAGUAACACGUGGGUAACCUGCCCGGAAGUGGGGAAUACCGUCGGGGAAACUCGAGCUAAUACCGCAUGACAUCUUUGGGACGAAAGUCCCGACGAUCAAAGCGGGGUCGCAAGAUCUCGCGCUACCGGAUGGGCCCGCGCCCGAUUAGCUAGUUGGUGAGGUAACGGCUCACCAAGGCUUCGAUC